Molecule: ribosomal RNA, 304 nt
Filed under: Enterococcus gallinarum
Lineage: Bacteria; Bacillati; Bacillota; Bacilli; Lactobacillales; Enterococcaceae
Description: bacterial SSU rRNA
Rfam family: Bacterial small subunit ribosomal RNA
Source: RNAcentral
GGUAACCUGCCCAUCAGAAGGGGAUAACACUUGGAAACAGGUGCUAAUACCGUAUAACACUAUUUUCCGCAUGGAAGAAAGUUGAAAGGCGCUUUUGCGUCACUGAUGGAUGGACCCGCGGUGCAUUAGCUAGUUGGUGAGGUAACGGCUCACCAAGGCCACGAUGCAUAGCCGACCUGAGAGGGUGAUCGGCCACACUGGGACUGAGACACGGCCCAGACUCCUACGGGAGGCAGCAGUAGGGAAUCUUCGGCAAUGGACGAAAGUCUGACCGAGCAACGCCGCGUGAGUGAAGAAGGUUUUC